RNAcentral lists this long non-coding RNA (934 nucleotides) under Helianthus annuus (common sunflower). RNAcentral's name for it is "hypothetical non coding rna". The record is from RNAcentral. Lineage: Eukaryota; Viridiplantae; Streptophyta; Magnoliopsida; Asterales; Asteraceae.
UAUGGUUAAGCUAGGGAAUGAACUGUUAGAUCAGGUGAGCGAAUAGUAAUCUCUCUUAAGUGCCAUUAAUCUUGUAUAAGACCGAGGGCAAAAGUGGUAGAUCUAUCGGGUGUAGCGAGCCCCACUCUUGGGUCCUUGUGUGGCCCAUGUAGUGCUUUUGUUGUUCUAACCGGGUGGACCGGGGGAAAUCCGCUAGGGUUGAGUGCUUCCUAUGUCGCCACACAUAUUAAUGUCCUUGCAAAACAUUAAUGAUCUGUUCAUAGACGCUUACAUACCAGCUUUUGAUACUCAAGUUUUCAAAUGUUUUAAAGAUUCAUUUGAUUGAAACUCACAAAUACAUCGAUUUACAAACUUUGGUAACGCUUUUCAAACUAUACCUAAGUAAGAGGACACGCUAAUCCUGCUUACAAAGGUUCGUUUGGGCUUGGCCCAUUCUCUCUCGUGCAAUGCACAAAGACUCUCGUGGGCUAGACUCACAGUUUUCAUAUAUCAUGCCAAGAAAAUGAUUUUACUAUAUUUUCUCAACAACUUUAUAACCGGUUAUCAAAAAGAUUUAUUUUAAAUCUUUUCAAAACAAACUACGAACUCGCUCAACUUUAUGUUGACUUUUUCGCAUGUUCUUUCUUAGGUUGCAUUUUCAAAACUAUGGAACGGUUGGAAUAGGAGAACCCAUGGGAAUUCAAGUACUUAGCGGCGUUCAUUGUUUAGAAGUCUUAGCUUAAUUGCUUCCGCUGUGCAAUGAAGAUACCAGUCCAGUCACGCCAGCUCUGAUAUUUCGGGGUGUGACAGUAGUGCUUCGGAGUCCCAGUCGAGGUUAAUGGACACAGUCGAGGUUAAUCGACACAGUCAAGGAAAAUCGACAAGGUGUAAACUGACGUAUUUUCCAAAAAGGCUAAGUGCAGGUACUACGCGUAAUAGGCUGGUCACUCCUUAA